Molecule: long non-coding RNA, 809 nt
Organism: Hemicordylus capensis (graceful crag lizard)
Lineage: Eukaryota; Metazoa; Chordata; Lepidosauria; Squamata; Cordylidae
Exons: 6
Source: RefSeq, a predicted model, not a curated record
GGCUUGAAUGGCUGUGUUUGCAGACAGGUGAGCAGACGGCUCUGGUGCAGCCUGCAUGCGUGCACAAAGUCUUGCUAAGUCUCAGAACGGAAUUGCCACCGCUGAUCUCUUGCACUCUGUUGCAGCAAGAAAGAAAAGGGAGAAGAGAGCCAAGUAAAUCUAAAAGUUGUUACAACAAGAUCCACAGAGGGGUUGGCACUUGGCACUACUUUCAGCGCUGCAAGGAGAAUACAGGUGGCCCUCGUUACCCGCCGGAGAAUUGCUGUGGGAAACAUCAAUUAUAGUCCUAACCAUAGGCCAUCGUUUGACUAGAUCUGUUCUCAGGGUGGCUACCAUAUGAGAAAGGGAAGCUAACAACCAUCCCAAUUUAGACAUAGCUCCAAACAACAGUAUUAUUGUUCAUUUAGCAGCAGCAGCAGCUGAGAAAAGGAAGCCUGCUGAACAAGAGUAAAAAUAGACCCGGCAGUUACUCAGCUCCUGAGAACAUGAUGACAUGACUCAUGAGUGAAACAGCAUGUGGCCAGUGGAGAAACCGAUCAAGACGGAUCAGAUACAAAGUGCCCACAAGACGUUACAGAGUUCUCAUGACUGAAAUGAGAAUUCUGCAUAAUAUCAAAAUGCCUGUGUGAUCUUGUAGGGAAAGGGUUGAGCUUAGAUCUAAGAGAUCUGGAUCCAAGUCUUACAUCUGCCAUGAAUUGUGGAGAUCAUUUCUCGUCUUGAAAUGGGAACAAUGGUGGCUCUCUUAUCAUGGGAACAAUAGUAGCUCUAUUCUCAGGGUUGUUGGAGGACUGAGCACAAUAAAGCUUGUA